AGAGUUUGAUCAUGGCUCAGGACGAACGCUGGCGGCGUGCCUAAUGCAUGCAAGUCGAGCGGGCUACGAUCUUCGGAUUGUAGCUUAGCGGCGAACGGGUGAGUAACACGUAGGUAAUCUACCCUUCAGAGGAGGACAACCUCAGGAAACUGAGGCUAAACCUUCAUACGUUCACUGGUAGGGAUACUGGUGAAGAAAGAGUUACCUUAGUGGUAGCUGCUGAAGGAUGAGCCUGCGGCCCAUCAGGUAGUUGGUGAGGUAACGGCUCACCAAGCCGAAGACGGGUAACCGGUCUGAGAGGAUGUCCGGUCACACUGGGACUGAGACACGGCCCAGACUCCUACGGGAGGCAGCAGCAGGGAAUCUUGGGCAAUGGGCGAAAGCCUGACCCAGCGACGCCGCGUGGAGGAAGAAGUCCUUCGGGGCGUAAACUCCUGGACUGGGGGACGAGGAAGGACGGUACCCCAGUAGAAAGGGACGGCUAACUACGUGCCAGCAGCCGCGGUAAAACGUAGGUCCCGAGCGUUGUUCGGAUUCACUGGGUGUAAAGGGCGCGUAGGUGGUUGUCUGUGUCUCAUGUGAAAACUCAGGGCUCAACUCUGAGAUUGCGUGGGAAACUAGGCAGCUAGAGGACGGUAGAGGGGAGUGGAAUUCCCGGUGUAGCGGUAAAAUGCGUAGAUAUCGGGAGGAACACCGGUGGCGAAGGCGGCUCUCUGGGCCGAUCCUGACGCUGAGGCGCGAAAGCUAGGGGAGCGAACCGGAUUAGAUACCCGGGUAGUCCUAGCCGUAAACGAUGGGUGCUAGGUGUUG
RNAcentral lists this ribosomal RNA (810 nucleotides) under uncultured bacterium. RNAcentral describes it as "bacterial SSU rRNA". It matches the Rfam family "Bacterial small subunit ribosomal RNA", at positions 8 to 825 of the family's 1533-position model. The record is from RNAcentral.